GUACAGGAUGGCAGGCAGGCUCAGGGUCAGGCAGAGGUACAGGAUGGCAGGCAGGCAGGCUCAGGCAGAGGUACAGGAUGUCAGGCAGGCUCAGGGUCAGGCAGGGGUACAGGCUCAGGGUCAGGCAGAGGUACAGGAUCAGGGUCAGGCAGAGGUACAGGCUCAGGGUCGGGAGAGGUACAGGACGGCAGGCAGGCUCAGGGUCAGGCAGAGGUACAGGACGGCAGGCAGGCUCAGGGUCAGGCAGGGGUACAGGCUCAGGGUCAGGCAGAGGUACAGGCUCAGGGUCAGGCAGAGGUACAGGCUCAGGGUCGGGCAGAGGUACAGGCUCAGGGUCAGGCAGACGUACAGGCUCAGGGUCAGGCAGAGGUCGGUAAUCCAAUGGUGGGGCAAAGGAACACCAGAAUUGAGGAAUAUGACAACAACACAUUUAACAUAACAACACCAUAUUACAACCAUAUUACCACCA
Long non-coding RNA from Oncorhynchus tshawytscha (Chinook salmon), 469 nucleotides. The record is from Ensembl. NCBI's taxonomy places the organism in Eukaryota, Metazoa, Chordata, Actinopteri, Salmoniformes, Salmonidae.